Non-coding RNA from Kogia breviceps (pygmy sperm whale), 1690 nucleotides. Lineage: Eukaryota; Metazoa; Chordata; Mammalia; Artiodactyla; Physeteridae. The record is from RefSeq and is a predicted model, not a curated record.
CUAGAGGUUGAUCCACCUCCCCCAAGUCAAGCUGCCUUCCAGGAGGGUUCUGGGAGAACUGGCCUCUAUUUCUACCCCCACUGACCAUGACUAGCAGCCCCUGCUGUCACUGAUUAUCUGUCUUCCUGCGCCAGGGACGCCCUCUCUGGACUGUGAGGGUCUGGACGGCAGAGGGCUGGGUCUUCGCCCAGAGGAGGUUGCUCAUCUUGGCGCUGGGGCAGAAAAGGGACAGUGCUGCAUUUACUACGUGGGCCCGGGAGGCUGACACCAAUGCAGCAUCUCCUGGGCUCCUCUGUUUCUUGGGUUUGGCUAAUGGGAGGCACCUUCAGGAGACCUGGGAGCCUGGAGAACGAAAGGGUGGGGAGUUUUCUCCCCUGACCUGCUGUUUUGGGGCUGCAUCUCCCGCAGUUCCAACCACAGGUCCUGCUGAUUAGCCCUUCUUUCGAGUCUCCGGGCUCUCUAGGUUCCCCUUGUAUUAUUUCCGUUGUUCUAGGGGUGCUAAGAGCUCCCACCGCUUUUAGUCCUGAAAUGCUUCACGAAUUCCACCAAUCGGUGGACCUGCCCACACCCCCUGGAGGAAAAGCCCCGCCCACACCCUAGGAGGAGGCCCCGCCCACACCCCUGGGAGGAAGCCCCGCCCACCCUCCGGGAAGGAGUCCCAGCCACACCCUGGAAGGGAUCCACUGAGCCGUCUGGGCAAAUAAUGACAAGCACAGUGAGGAACACCAGGGAGGCACAACAUACCGCGAUGACGAUCACCAGCCCCGACCACCAGCUCUCCUCGGUGGGACACGAGGUAGCGUUGGGAGCUGAAAGAGACGGGAGCAGCCUGAGUGUCCCCUGGAUGAGUGGGUCCCAGCCGGCAUCAGAGGUGGACCGUUGUCGGUGACACCAAGGCUGGUCUCACCGCCAUCCAUCACCCAGAUGAAGGCUCUCCAACCUGUCCUGCUGUCCCCACCCCCGCCCAGCGGCAGGUGACAUCAUGGUUGGCCUCCAGCCAGGCAACGUGCUCCGAGCUGGGGUUAAACACCGCACCCCGGGCCAUCCAUCCUCCCUUGGCAUGAGCUAACUGACAGCAGGGUCGGGUUUAAUUUCCCGUGAAAAAUAACAGAAUAUCUCAUUCUCUCAGUUGGGACAUUAAACCUGCUUCCUCUGAAGCCCUCUUUGUGAGGCUCCUCAAGACCGGGACUUGUACUCAGCAGCACUGCUGUCUUUCAGGAGCUGCAGCCCACACUUUCUCUGUGCCCUGCCCCGGGGACCCUCCCCGGAUCUGCCGAGCCUUCGGUUCCCAUCCAGGGCUGCAGAUGCACUGCUGCCUGGAAGGGCUACGUUCAGCCAGCUUAGAACAGUGCAGCUCUGUCCAGAAGUGAGGAGACGGUGCCGCAGGGGAAAGCUCUGGGGGACCACUUGAGCCUACCCUCAUUGCCCCGACGCCUCAUCAUUCGAGGACAAAUCCAUUCACUCACUCAACCCCUAUCUGCUAAGAGCCUACGACACGCCAUGCACUGGGCUAGGUGCUGGGGAGAGGAAGGUUGGUGAAAACACACAGGGACGUUGCCCUUGUGGUAGAGUCUGCUGAAGAAUGGACACUAUGGGACUUCCCCGGUGGCGCAUCGAUUGGAGUCCGCCUGCCAAUGCAGGGGACACGGGUUUGAGCCCUGGUCCAGGAGGAUCCCGCAUGCCGCGGAGC